Molecule: long non-coding RNA, 649 nt
Organism: Mastomys coucha (southern multimammate mouse)
Lineage: Eukaryota; Metazoa; Chordata; Mammalia; Rodentia; Muridae
Exons: 3
Source: RefSeq, a predicted model, not a curated record
CUCACAGGAAGUUGCCAACUCAGCCUGACAGGUGUUCAUUCUGUGCCUGGUGUAUAAAUUAAACUUGACGGGAGAUAUGUAGAAACAGGAAGAAAGAUAAUAUCCAUAGGAUUCUGCACUAUCCAAGCCAUCCACCAGAGAGUCGUGGGAUGCAGUUCCUGUGGAGAAGGGAAGAUUGCUGCAUAUAUUGGUACAUCCAUGCCUAGUGCACCAGGAGGCCAGAAGAGUACGGUACCCUGAAACUAAAGUGACCAGUUGGGAGCGAUCAUUCCAUCGGUGGGAAUCCAACCUGGGUCCUCUGCAAAACGAGGUGUCAAAAACUAGAGAGACCUCACUUUAGUGUCUGGGUUUCUGACUUCUCUGGGAAAAUGAGCUGCUCCUGUCAUAUUCGUUCCGCUCCUGUCAUAUUCGUCCCUUUCACCGGAUGACGACAACCAACCAGGCCUUAGUAGGCAGAGUCUGAGACUGUUCUCCCUUGGGCCACAGCCCGGCCGCGCCCCCCCACUCCCAGCUCCUUUCUGGGUCCCAGCGCGGAGGCCAAGGCUUCAUUCCCAUUUGUUACUGCUACCCUUGAAAGCUUCGUGGAAAUGAAGUCAUCCUAAUAACUAUGUUUCUGUCGAGACGGAAAUUAAAUGUCUCUUAAUUCAAA